CAUUACCUAUUUGCCCCAGGCUUUAAGACGUCACUAGCCAAAGAUGCAUCUUCUUGAACACCAAUUCGGAAGGUCACCAACUUCCGGCACACAACACAAAGAACUCCCAAAUUGUAAAGUAAAUCUCUACGCAUUUGCGAAGCUAAUCAGAGUUUCAUCUUUCUCGAUAACUCUGAUCGAAUUUUCUGACGGUUUUCCCCCUCGUAAGCCUUUCCCUUCAUAUAAAAAAUUAAUAAUUCUUAGACGUCAAAGCCUUGACCUGGGAAAAGGUCGUCUACUCCAUCUCCAAAUGGGCUGGUGCUAAGUUUGACAAACACCGUAAGCAAUCACAUCGUUUUCGUUUGUACAAUAAAGUUAAUAUUUUAUUUGUCUCCUUUAACACUGAUUUGAUUGCUUUCAUACAGUUUAAGAUAUUUUUUUUGUCAAAGUAGAGGAUUAGUAAUGGACAUGUCUUCCUUAUAUGAUGGUCUACAUGAAUUAAGGCAAAUUUAUUUUGUUAGGAUUUCUUGUCCUUAAACGAAGGUAAAAGGAUAUCUGGUUUUGUUAUACCUUUACAAUGUCCUUCCAAAAAUUAGUUUAAGAUAGUUUCUGUGCAUCAAAUCUUAUAAUUAGGCUAGGCCAACAAUUUUUUUACUGGUCAAAUUUUCUGGCACUAACUUCUGCAAGGGAAUGUUGUAAAUUGACAAGGACUUUGAGUGUUUAUGAGAUAGCUUUGAUAGAGAAAAGAUAAUUAUAUUACCAUCACAUAAUCAUUGAAAGUACCUGUAUCUUAUAAGAGAUGAACAUCAUUGAUCACUUCAAUUUGAUAGAAGCACAAAAAAUGUGCAAUCCACAUUCUUAUCCCAACUUAUGCCGAAUCUACGAUAUGCAGUAGUACUAUGUUUUCCAGUAGUAAAAGUCCACUGGGAUUAAGGACUGAGACUCAUUUUGACUGACAAAAAGGAUUUGGUGAUAUCAAUUGAAAUUGAUGUUUAUUCGCAUUUUUUGCUUAAGCGAAUUUGAAGAAAGGUAUCAUAUGUCACGGUUUUUUGUCUAGACAUUAGCAAGACGUUUAGCGAUUCCACAUAAUCACUCCAUUGACAAUCUUGGUGAAUGAUGUACUCGGGGUUGAGGUGGACUAAUUUUUAGACCUCGGAUCUAUAACCAGGUUUUCUAUUCAGACUGUCCCACCUGGUAUCAUUGUGUGCUUACCAACUCGAUUAUGUACCUAUGAAAUCCAUGGCUCUUGAAGAGAAGAUAGCAGAUUGGAGCUCUCAUGGUGGCCUUCGCGGUUAGUGUCAUUAUUUUUUCUUCUUUUCUUUUAGUAUUGUUUUGGCUUAUUAUCUCAGUACUUUUCACUGAUUUGAAUUUUUCUCCGGGCUGUGGAAUGGCGGAGUCGAUAUAUCACAAAGCUACUUUUCCUAUUCAAAAUAUGAGGAAAAUAUCAAUGGAAUUGAAGGCAACAACUCAAGAAAAACUUAGCAGCUCAUGGCGAAUUGUUUUGAGUAUUGCAAGAUUUCUUUCCUUAUUCAUUUGUUUUCUAUGUAUAUUCUUCUAUAUCAUCAGGAUAACAUUUGUAACAAAUCUGAAUGUGCCAUUUAAAUUCAGUCCAACAAUAAAUCAUGUACGUCUCAAUUUCUACUUAAUUUUGGGUUGAUUUCUUGUGUGUUAUGAAAGUUUGCUAUUUAUCUGAUA
This is a non-coding RNA of Nicotiana tabacum (common tobacco), 1674 nucleotides long. NCBI's taxonomy places the organism in Eukaryota, Viridiplantae, Streptophyta, Magnoliopsida, Solanales, Solanaceae. The record is from RefSeq and is a predicted model, not a curated record.